Molecule: ribosomal RNA, 301 nt
Filed under: uncultured bacterium
Lineage: Bacteria
Description: partial 16S ribosomal RNA
Rfam family: Bacterial small subunit ribosomal RNA
Source: RNAcentral
CAGUCGCCGCGGUAAAACGAAGGAGGCUAGCGUUGCUCGGAAUUACUGGGCGUAAAGGGCGCGUAGGCGGACAGUUCAGUCGGGGGUGAAAGCCCGGGGCUCAACCUCGGAAUUGCCUUCGAUACUGGCUGUCUUGUGUAUGAGAGAGGUGUGUGGAACUCCGAGUGUAGAGGUGAAAUUCGUAGAUAUUCGGAAGAACACCAGUGGCGAAGGCGACACACUGGCUCAUUACUGACGCUGAGGCGCGAAAGCGUGGGGAGCAAACAGGAUUAGAUACCCGGGUAGUCCCUGUCUCUUAUAC